RNAcentral lists this ribosomal RNA (468 nucleotides) under uncultured bacterium. Its description in RNAcentral is "partial 16S ribosomal RNA". It matches the Rfam family "Bacterial small subunit ribosomal RNA", at positions 28 to 507 of the family's 1533-position model. The record is from RNAcentral.
GACGAACGCUGGCGGCGUGCUUAACACAUGCAAGUCGAACGGAAAGGCCCUGCUUUUGUGGGGUUCUCGAGUGGCGAACGGGUGAGUAACACGUGAGUAACCUGCCCUUGACUUUGGGAUAACUUCAGGAAACUGGGGCUAAUAUCGGAUAGGAGCUCCUGCUGCAUGGUGGGGGUUGGAAAGUUUCGGCGGUUGGGGAUGGACUCGCGGCUUAUCAGCUUGUUGGUGGAGUAGUGGCUUACCAGGGCUUUGACGGGUAGCCGGCCUGAGAGGGUGACCGGCCACAUUGGGACUGAGAUACGGACCAGACUCCUACGGGAGGCAGCAGUGGGGAAUAUUGCACAAUGGGCGGAAGCCUGAUGCAGCAACGCCGCGUGCGGGAUGACGGCUUUCGGGUUGUAAACCGCUUUCGCCUGUGACGAAGCGUGAGUGACGGUAAUGGGUAAAGAAGCACCGGCUAACUACGUG